Molecule: long non-coding RNA, 654 nt
Organism: Neopelma chrysocephalum (saffron-crested tyrant-manakin)
Lineage: Eukaryota; Metazoa; Chordata; Aves; Passeriformes; Pipridae
Exons: 4
Source: RefSeq, a predicted model, not a curated record
ACAACAGAAAUCACGCUGGACGACCGCCAGCACCCUCCGCCUCCCAAGGUCUCACAAGGCCUCACCAGGCCCCACUCACCCACACGGCAGAACCAACAGCGGGGAACCCGCACCUCCAGAGCUACCAGAAGGGAAUAGAGCAAAGGCCUCUCCUCCCUUCUUCUUUAUACCCCUGGCUUAUGUAAAAAUCGUAGGGAAUACUGGGUAUUAUGGCCACUUCCUUGGUUGCAAACUGGUCACCAAGGAAGGCCUAGACUAAAACUACCACAGCUUCCUGUUUCUACUUUAUUCUCCCCCUUCAAUACAGCUUUCUCUAGGUACAAAACCUGAGUGUGACCACUCUUAUGAAAAUUCUGGUUUUGCCUGGGGAAAGGAGGGUGUCUGUGUUGUGUCAUGAUCCAUUGGAGAACUAUGGAUGACAGGUACUGGAAGCCGAACUUCUACAGUGUAAACCAUGAGGUAUAUGCAUCAACCUUGACUUGCAGCACCACUUCAAAAGACCAAGAAGCUGCUGCAGAGGGACCUGAGAGCCAGCUGUAGAGGACAACACAGUCUGUAAUGCUUUCGGAUAAUAAGCAGAUUGUAGCUCCACAAUUCCAACAAAGAAACACAAGCAGUAUGGAUGUACAAUUUUGCCACAGAGCAUUUGCAGGA